GAAGCAACUCAUGCAUACAUAGAUUCAUUCUCACCAUUCUACCCUUUUUUAUAAGUGAUUACAAGUUCUACCCUUUUAUCAUCAUCUCAAAACCAAAAUAACACCCACUCACAUCACUCCCCCAAUGAACAACUUUCUUUUUCUUUUGACUCAACCAACUAGGGACUUUAAUUCACUUUUUACAACAUUUAGCUCUAACUCUUUCUCAUUUCCCUCCCCACCUUCUCUUUGAUUCUUUUCUCUCUUUUUUUUUUUUUUUUUAUAAGGGGGAAGGUUCUUUUGUACAUAAUCUGGAGCUUCAUACUUUCCUUUUGUCCCUAGAGUUUUCUUUUCUAAUGAC
Molecule: long non-coding RNA, 340 nt
Filed under: Brassica napus (rape)
Lineage: Eukaryota; Viridiplantae; Streptophyta; Magnoliopsida; Brassicales; Brassicaceae
Description: long non-coding RNA (BNAP_LNC023774)
Source: RNAcentral